RNAcentral lists this ribosomal RNA (243 nucleotides) under uncultured bacterium. RNAcentral's name for it is "partial 16S ribosomal RNA". It matches the Rfam family "Bacterial small subunit ribosomal RNA", at positions 100 to 334 of the family's 1533-position model. The record is from RNAcentral.
CCGGGCGGCACGGGUGAGUAACACGUAUCCAACCUGCCGUCUACUCUUGGCCAGCCUUCUGAAAGGAAGAUUAAUCCAGGAUGGGAUCAUGAGUUCACAUGUCCGCAUGAUUAAAGGUAUUUUCCGGUAGACGAUGGGGAUGCGUUCCAUUAGAUAGUAGGCGGGGUAACGGCCCACCUAGUCAACGAUGGAUAGGGGUUCUGAGAGGAAGGUCCCCCACAUUGGAACUGAGACACGGUCCAA